This is a long non-coding RNA of Monodelphis domestica (gray short-tailed opossum), 1670 nucleotides long. RefSeq lists it as uncharacterized. NCBI's taxonomy places the organism in Eukaryota, Metazoa, Chordata, Mammalia, Didelphimorphia, Didelphidae. The record is from RefSeq and is a predicted model, not a curated record.
UCCUGACACUCCUGCUUAAUGGCCCGUGGUACCCAGAGGGGCCGGGCCGAGCCAGCGUGAAAGCAUGAGGUCCGGGAAGCUGGGCUUGGCUGCCUUCCAGAGCCCUUUGGCCUCCUCCAAGGCACCACGUGAGGGUGCGCGGGGCCCCUCGCCUGCCUUCUCCUGCCGCCGCCACCAAACUGCUCUCUGGAAAAGCAGUGAGAUCAUUUACACCUCAGCGAGAACGGAUCCGGCUGCUCAAGUUAGCUGCUGCUGACGAGGAGAAACAGCAAAACACAACCACUUCAUGACAAAUUGGCUGGAAAUGCAAUUCUGCCAGGGCUGUUAUCCGUUGACUCUCAAAGACUUUCUCGCUGGCUUGCCAAAGUCACAGAAGGGGUGGAUGGAUCUCUAUGGGCUGGGAAUAUGGGUUGCCCUGCAUAGAGAGGGAGGAGUCUGGACCAGAAGCUAAGUGAGCCAGAUAUAGAGCAGGAGCUCUUUCCCAGCAUGGGUAUCAAUUGGAAACAGGUUUUAGAACUCCACCCCCAGGAUGCCUUGGGAUGGCUUUAUUCCUACUCUCGCUCUACCUCUUGAAGCAUGGAUGGAGAUGAGCCCAGCUCCCCUGGCCACUUCCAGGGACCAGCACUGAAGCUUCAGGGCUUUGAGCUGACCAAACAAUCCUCUUCUUGGUCCCUGAAUACCUCCCUUUGGCCCCAUGAUGGGACGCUAUAUUAGAGAAUUGCCCAUUGAGGAGAACCAACCUUGGCUCUUGCUCUCUUGUUCCUCUCUCGAACAUGGUGUGGAAUACUUUCUCUGGGAAUUCCUGGCCAGGCAGAGGAGAGGACCUCCUCUCUCCCCGGGAAGCUAUGAUGACUGCUUCCAUGUGGCUACACAUCCUUGGCUUCAGAUAACUGAGUUUAUGCCACUAUUUCAACAUCACGGCUGUCUUUUCUGCCUUGUGUUCCUUCUUCUGAGCACAGGUGACCGAACAGUGAAGAUUCUGAGAUGGAUGUUUCCAUCAGCCUUAUGCGUUCGAAUGUUCAGGAGCUCCUGGGUCUCUCGGUGCUGUCUGCACCACAGAGGGGACUCCCUGCAGUUGUUGUACUAUUUUUGGAAUAAGAGAUGAGCAUCUUCAGGGGAUCAUCUGAUUCCUAUCCUGGCCUUUCAGAGACCUGGACUUUGAGGUGGAUAGUCCAGAGCUUUCUUCAAGUCGUCCCCCCUCCUCCCACCAGGGCUCUGAAGGGUAAGAGUGUAAAGAGCCAGAGCGCAGGGAGAAAAGUAAGAAAAGAAGCCUUUCUCUUUAGAGGCUGGGAUCCCCCAAGCCUCAACCUGGUCCAUGAGUACAAAGCCUACACUUGGGAUCCUUUAGAGGGAGAGGACAUUCCCGGAUCACCCAGUAUGGACCUACAUGCUGUUAUAUGCACAUAGAUGUAUGUGUAUACACGCAUACAUACACAUACAUAUAUACACAUACAUGCACACACAGAGAUAUAUAUUUACACACACACACACAUAUUCUGAUUUGCUAGCACCAGGAAAUGGGGGCAUCACACGGAUCAUUUGCACAUACCAACUCUCAGGCUCAAAUAAGAUUAGUUCAUUCAUUCAUUCAUUUAUUUGACAACCAUUUAUUAAGUUCCUGUUACAAACCUCUGCUUGAAAUAAAUGUGUGUGUGUGUGUGUACUCUCUC